This 468-nucleotide ribosomal RNA is filed under the name uncultured bacterium. RNAcentral's name for it is "partial 16S ribosomal RNA". It matches the Rfam family "Bacterial small subunit ribosomal RNA", at positions 28 to 507 of the family's 1533-position model. The record is from RNAcentral.
GACGAACGCUGGCGGCGUGCUUAACACAUGCAAGUCGAACGGAAAGGCCCUGCUUUUGUGGGGUGCUCGAGUGGCGAACGGGUGAGUAACACGUGAGUAACCUGCCCUUGACUUUGGGAUAACUUCAGGAAACUGGGGCUAAUACCGGAUAGGAGCUCCUGCUGCAUGGUGGGGGUUGGAAAGUUUCGGCGGUUGGGGAUGGACUCGCGGCUUAUCAGCUUGUUGGUGGGGUAGUGGCUUACCAAGGCUUUGACGGGUAGCCGGCAUGAGAGGGUGACCGGCCACAUUGGGACUGAGAUACGGCCCAGACUCCUACGGGAGGCAGCAGUGGGGAAUAUUGCACAAUGGGCGGAAGCCUGAUGCAGCAACGCCGCGUGCGGGAUGACGGCCUUCGGGUUGUGAACCGCUUUCGCCUGUGACGAAGCGUGAGUGACGGUAAUGGGUAAAGAAGCACCGGCUAACUACGUG